UGUAAAAUGGGGAUAAUAAAAGUAAAUAAGAGUAUCUACCCAGAGAAGAUUAGCAUGGCCUCUGCGCAAGGAUGACACGCAAAUUCGUGAAGCGUUCCAUAUUUAA
Molecule: small nuclear RNA, 106 nt
Organism: Dama dama (fallow deer)
Lineage: Eukaryota; Metazoa; Chordata; Mammalia; Artiodactyla; Cervidae
Source: RefSeq, a predicted model, not a curated record